UGGGUCUGGAGCUCUCUGGCACAAGAUUAUUCCUGCUGCUGCUAAGUUUAGAGGUGCAUGUGAGAAGAGGAAGCAGCCUCAUAAUGUGAUUUAUGGUUGCAGCUCCCAAACAAACUCUUGCAUUGGCAACACAUUAAGGGAGCUGGGCAAGGAACCAAGUCAAUUGACAGUGGUCUGUAGCCUCACUGAGAAGUCCUCACUUGGAGAAUUGUGACAAUCACUCUCUAAGGUUUGAAUGACUGGAUUGUAAUGAAGGAUAUGGGAAUUCUAGGAUUCUGUGCUCAGCUUGGCAUGUUGUAAAUGACAAAUGAAAGCAACUAGUCAUUUGAUUUUCCUGACCAUCUGUUUUAUAUGUUAAAAAGAAAAACCAAGGAAUUUCAAUUUUUAUUGUAGGGAAAAAAGGAAAACUGAACUGUUUUAAAGUCUUUGUUGAAACCAGAAUUGCCUUGUUUUAUCUGACCUAGCUCUGCAUGUUAUGCAUUUCUCAAAGGCAGAAUAGCAGAGAAGCAACUGCACACUUUUGAUGCUUUUCAAAGACCUGACUUACCUGAAGUGUUAUAGCAGUGACAACUUCAUUCUGCACAACUCAGACCUUUAGUCCUUAAGGCAGUACAAGUGCUUUCAUUUUCGUAACAAAGUCUGAAGCCUUGCAGAAAAUAAGGGAAUCAGAGUCCAUUAAUCAGAAUUACCAAUGUGAAGGCUGUGACAUAAGUUUAAAAAAAAAACGAGGGCAUAAACAAUGGCUCCUCUGUAAGGAGAAUCAUUUUGACCUGGAAAAAAGUGAUUGGUAAUUCAAACCAGAAAUUGCUCUGAAUGUUGAACAUAUAUUGGAAUAUUUCAUGGGCUAUUUUAUCAUUGCAACUUGUUGACAUUAUUUUGUACUUGUAAC
Lagopus muta (rock ptarmigan) is the source of this 889-nucleotide long non-coding RNA. RefSeq lists it as uncharacterized. The record is from RefSeq and is a predicted model, not a curated record. The transcript is spliced from 4 exons. Lineage: Eukaryota; Metazoa; Chordata; Aves; Galliformes; Phasianidae.